This 1898-nucleotide long non-coding RNA is filed under the name Malus domestica (apple). Its description in RNAcentral is "long non-coding RNA (MDOM_LNC014246)". The record is from RNAcentral. Lineage: Eukaryota; Viridiplantae; Streptophyta; Magnoliopsida; Rosales; Rosaceae.
AACCAAGGGGGAAAGGAAUAAUCAGGUUUCUAGAAGUUCUAGAAAGGUUUGGGGUGUCACUUUUGUAGGACAAGGGAUAAGGCCUUCUAGAAAGGUUGUUUUGUGGCUGAUUUAUAGAAAAACAAGGGAUAAGGUGUGGCACCUUUGUAGGAAGGGAUAAGGCUUCUAGAAAUUAGGAUUUAAGUCUCCAAAUAGGAAAAGAAAUCCCUUUUGUAGCUGAAAUAUAGGUAGAUUAGGAUUAGGAUAAGAUAGGAUAGGAUAAGGUUAUGGAUAAUGUUUUGGAUAAGGUUUCUUCACUUGAGCUGAUUAUUUGGCUUUAACUUCCCUUCUUCAAGUAGGAAACCUUGUUUGAGUAGGAAUCUUCAAUCUUCUAGAAAUCCAACUUCAACUAGGAAUCAUUCUUCAACUAGGAAUCCAUUGUUGACUAGGAUUUCAUCUUCAAUUAAGCACUUUCCUACUUCAAUUAGGAAACUUUGCAUCUUCAAUUCUUCAACUUUGAAACACAUUCCUAGCUUCUUCAAUCCUUCAAAUUCGUCCAUUCUUUGUGCACCACAUGCAUGAGCUCCAUUCUAGCUCAAUAUUGCUUCAAAAUGCUCCAAUUUGCAUCUUUUUGCUUACUUUGCCCUUAAAACCUGAAAACACAUGAAAAUAGCUUAAAAGACUAACUUAACUAAGAAAACACAACAUAAAUGUAUAAGAACUAGCUAACUAAGGCGCAUAAAUAUGCUCCUAUCAGCCGUGGAUUUGCAAAAUCUGCAAAAUCCAAGAAACCAAACACCUACAGAAUGGUAGAGGAGGACCCGGAUAUUUGGGGGAGGUAAGGACCCAGAUCUGCAAAUCCACCGAGACAGAACCUUUCUCUUUGUAUCUCUCUUUCUCUCUCCCCCUCAUAUUAGUAUACUGCAGCCACAAACUAGGUACUUCCAUAAUCCUGGGUCGUGACUUCACAAUGGAGACCAAGUAUCAGACCACAGAGGCCGACUCGGCUUCGCUAUUUGCGCCAAGUGUUGUGACUCCAACUUCACCACCAAGCUCCAGAAGCCCUCCCUCAUCGACUCCCUUUCCAUGGUGCUCCCAUGGUUUGCCUUCAGUCGACCAAGGCGGCCCCUGCCAGUAUGAAGGAAAUUUUGUGAAAAACAUGUUCAUUUGAGCAACAUCUAUAGCAUGCAAUUAACAAAUUAAAGGCGGAAUCAUGCUUGCAUGCACUCAAAACAAAACAUUACCCAUUAAAUUCAAAGCCUAGUAGUUAGGUGAACCAAGACUCAACUCAAAACAAAGUGAGUUGAAAAAUUUAUACCUUUGUUGAUUCCUCUUUGCAUAAGCAAAGGAUAAUCACCCAAGAGAUAGGGCCUUCAUUCCUUGCUUUUUAGCUCCAUGGAUUUGGAUGGAAGAAUUGGUUUCUCCAAGUUCUCAAAGUUGAGAACCUCUAAGUCUCCACACCAAGGAAGGAUUGAUGAAGAAAUGAGUGACCUAGAGGAAGUAAGAUUGCUAGCUAUGUUCCUCUAGGGUGGCCGGCCUCUUAGAGAGUAAAGAGAGCUUUUGUUCUCAUCUUUUCUCCCAAAAGAAACCCUAAAUGAAUUUUGGCUAUAAAGUCAUAUUUAUACCUACAUUCAUUGGAGUGGCAAACUUGUAAUAAGUCCAAAACCCACUCCUUUAUCAAUAUGGCCGGCCAUAGGGUUUUAUUGGGCUAUUUGGGCCUUUGUGAAUUAUUAGUCAUUAAGUUGUCAUACAACUUAAGUCAAUGGGCUUGACGUUCGAAGCCCAUUGGGCCUUGAGGCCCAAAACUAACCCGAGGUCUUUAACUAACUUUAUUCGUUUGAUUAAUUAACAUAUUAAUUAAUCCUUGUCAUAAAUAAUUAAACAAUUUAAUUAUUCUUACUCAUCUCCAUUGUUUCUUC